This 425-nucleotide ribosomal RNA is filed under the name uncultured Piscirickettsiaceae bacterium. Its description in RNAcentral is "bacterial SSU rRNA". It matches the Rfam family "Bacterial small subunit ribosomal RNA", at positions 356 to 773 of the family's 1533-position model. The record is from RNAcentral. Lineage: Bacteria; Pseudomonadati; Pseudomonadota; Gammaproteobacteria; Thiotrichales; Piscirickettsiaceae.
GGGGAAUAUUGGACAAUGGGCGAAAGCCUGAUCCAGCAAUGCCGCGUGUGUGAAGAAGGCCUUCGGGUUGUAAAGCACUUUCAAUAGGGAGGAAAAGUUAUGUCCUAAUACGGCAUAACCCUGACGUUACCUAUAGAAGAAGCACCGGCUAACUCCGUGCCAGCAGCCGCGGUAAUACGGAGGGUGCAAGCGUUAAUCGGAAUUACUGGGCGUAAAGCGCGCGUAGGCGGUUUGCUAAGUCAGAUGUGAAAUCCCCGGGCUUAACCUGGGAACUGCAUUUGAGACUGGCAGGCUAGAAUGUGGUAGAGGUGAGUGGAAUUCCAGGUGUAGCGGUGAAAUGCGUAGAGAUCUGGAGGAACAUCAGUGGCGAAGGCGACUCACUGGGCCAUUAUUGACGCUGAGGUGCGAAAGCGUGGGUAGCAAAC